RNAcentral lists this transfer RNA (71 nucleotides) under Thermocatellispora tengchongensis. Its description in RNAcentral is "Streptosporangiaceae bacterium YIM 77521 tRNA". It matches the Rfam family "tRNA". From Rfam's summary of the family: Transfer RNA (tRNA) molecules are approximately 80 nucleotides in length. Lineage: Bacteria; Bacillati; Actinomycetota; Actinomycetes; Streptosporangiales; Streptosporangiaceae. The record is from Rfam by way of RNAcentral.
GCCCGUGUCGCCAAUGGACAGGCAACCGGACUACGAAUCCGGCGGUGCAGGUUCGAGUCCUGCCACGGGUA